This 157-nucleotide non-coding RNA is filed under the name unclassified sequences. RNAcentral's name for it is "DUF2800 RNA". It matches the Rfam family "DUF2800 RNA". Rfam says of the family: Actinobacteria, Firmicutes, Synergistetes (1 example). Terminator (Clostridia) The record is from RNAcentral.
CCGCUAUCCAUCGCAUCGUCUGAUCUACGAUGGCUCAACAGUGAAUAGCGGACAAGUAAAUAAACACAGCGCCUAUUGAGCGGGUUGCUGCAAUCCGAAACGGAGAGAUUCGUUUGGACUGCGGUUUGCUUUUUUGCACCCAUUUUGCAUUGGCACU